Molecule: long non-coding RNA, 2458 nt
Organism: Loxodonta africana (African savanna elephant)
Lineage: Eukaryota; Metazoa; Chordata; Mammalia; Proboscidea; Elephantidae
Exons: 4
Source: RefSeq, a predicted model, not a curated record
AGUUCUUAAAAAGCUUUUUAUUUACUCUAACUUUUCUAAGUGGUUGUCUAAAUAAAGAUAGCCUUAUGUGUGGCUUGGUAAUUUUUGUGGUUAACAUAUACCAUGAAAAAAAUUAUUGUAGAUAUUUAAUUCCUUAGGUAUAUAUGCUCAGCUGUGUUCAAGCAUGAAUCGUUUAGUAUAAUGUAUAAUUAACAGUAAAUCCUAAAGAAAUACGACUACGGUUAAAGACAGUAUCUGCUUUUGAAACUGACAUUAUCGGAGUUUAUUUUAUUUACUUAUUCACUUGUUUUCCCACCUCAUUACAGAAAAGAUUUCAAAUGACAAGUUAAUUCUACUAUAAUGGGAGUAAUAUUUAUUUAUUCAUCAAAAAAAAUUACUAUGUGCCAAGUACUGUGCCAAACGCUGCUUAUACAGAAAUCAAAAACAUGUUCCUUUCUUCAGGAAGUAUGGGAUUUAGAGGAAAAGUCAGACAAGUUAACCAGCAAGUACAAUCAAUAUAAGGAAAUUAGUGCUUAGAGGCAUUAGGUAACUUAUCCAAGGUCACACAGAAGUGGUAGAAUCAGGAUGUGAACGCAGAGGAUAAACUUACUAAAACACGUCCUUUCAAGAACAUGUCCGGAGAGAUAGAAGCAUAUCAAGCUGCUGGAUGGAUGUACAGGACAACGUAAGACCAUGUCCCAGGUUAUAAACCAGCAUAUAAAAUUUAAGAGGGCAGCUGAGAAGAAGAGGAAACCUAAAUUAGAGAGAAGCCCAGAAUGGAAAAUAAAGAUUUUUACUUUCAGGAUAAAGGGCUCCAAACAGAAGAGGUGGGUUAUAAGAAUCUUGAAUAAGAAGAUCAUGGGUAUGCCCAAUCAUGUGACUCUUAAUACCAUAAUUAACAUAUUUUUAAAAAUGCAGAUAUAUAAUCUAGUGAGUUGAAAAGGUGGUAUCAACAUGGGAUUAUCAGUGGAACUGUUAAAGGAAAAAGAUCACUGAAAUUUUAGAUUUUGCAUGAGAAGAUAUUUUUUGAACUUCUUUUAUUUUAAUCUAUAAUUUAUCAGUAGAGGAAAAAGAAUGAAUAUCAUUUAUUUAAUGAACAAAUAUUUUUCUUUCCUAAAUUUCACACCAGUAUGAAGCUUCCCUCUUAAGUGUUUAAGUUUUUAAAAAUGUAAACUGAAGAUUUGAUUGUGCUACUAAGUAGGUACCAUUUUACCUGAUGGCUAGGACAUACAGUUGAGAGGGAGCCUGACACCUUUAGAAAAGUACAUAAGAUAUUUUAUAAUUGCUCAAAGAAUGUAGUGCCCAAUUUCUCAAAUAACUCAAAUAACUCAAAUUUAAAUAUAUUAUAUAUAAGGAAUUUAUUCUAUAUUUAAUUUUUCUGUAGACGCCUUCAAUUUUGCACCUUAGGCUUGAAUUUUUUCCGUGAAGGCAGGGUCUUUUUUUGUUUACUCUGUCCUCAAUAUCUGGAAUAGUCAGUACUUAGUAUAUAGUAGGUUUUCAGUAAGUAUUUGAUGAAUAAGUGAAUAUAUGCUUAUACAUAUGUCUUAAAUAGCAAUUUUGCUGAUUAGAUAAAAGUCAUUGUAGGAAUUUUUGAAACUACAAGGAAAAAGAAAAUAAAAAUUAUUUGUAUUUUGCCACUCCAAAUAGCGAUCCUUUAAGAAAUAUUUUUCUCUAGUCCCUUUUUUCCUACACAAAUAUAUUUACAACUCAAUUGACAUCAAACUUACAUAUAUAGUUUUGUAUCCUUUUUUCAUUUAACCCUUUCAAGUGGGCAUUUCCCCAAAUCAAUAAGUAUUUAUUGAAAACGUAAUGUUAAAAUGUGGAUAAGGGUCCUAGGGUUGUUUUUCCCAAAAUCUGCACUUGUUAUUAGGUGCCGUAAAGUUGCUUCCUACUCAUAGCAACUCUGUACAAUAGAAGGAAACACUGCGAUAUCCUCACAACCAUUAUUAUGCUUGAGCCCAUUGUUGCAGCCACUGUGUCAAUCUAUCUUGUUGAGGGUCUUCCUCUUUUUUGCUGGCCCUCUACCAAGCAUGAUGUCCUUCUCCAGGGACUGGUCCCUCCUGAUAACAUGUCCAAAAUAUGUGAGAAGUUUCUCGUCCUUACUUCUAAGGAGCACUCUGGCUGUACUUCUUCUAAGACAGAUUUGAUUGCUUUUCUGGCAGUCCAUGGUAUAUUCAAUAUUCUUUGCUAGCACCAUAAUUCAAAGGCAUCAAUUCUUUGGUCCUCCUUGUUCAUUCUCCAGCUUUUGCAUGCAUAUGGGCGAUUGAAAAUACUAUGGCUUGGAUCAGGCAAACCUUAGUCCUCAUCUUUGCUUUUUAACACUUUAAAGAGGUGUUUUGCAGCAGAUUUGUCCAAUGCAGUAUGUCUUUUGAUUUCUCGAUUGCUGCUUCCAUGGGCAUUGAUUGUGGAUCCAAGUAAAAUGAAGUCCUUGACAACUUCAGUCUUUUCUCCAUUUAUCAUGAUGUUGCUUAUUGGUCCA